GGGGAAUAUUGGACAAUGGGCGAAAGCCUGAUCCAGCAAUGCCGCGUGAGUGAUGAAGGCCUUAGGGUUGUAAAGCUCUUUUACCAGGGAUGAUAAUGACAGUACCUGGAGAAUAAGCUCCGGCUAACUCCGUGCCAGCAGCCGCGGUAAUACGGAGGGAGCUAGCGUUGUUCGGAAUUACUGGGCGUAAAGCGCACGUAGGCGGCGACUCAAGUCAGAGGUGAAAGCCCGGGGCUCAACCCCGGAACUGCCUUUGAAACUAGGUUGCUAGAAUCUUGGAGAGGUCAGUGGAAUUCCGAGUGUAGAGGUGAAAUUCGUAGAUAUUCGGAAGAACACCAGUGGCGAAGGCGACUGACUGGACAAGUAUUGACGCUGAGGGGCGAAAGCGUGGGGAGCAAAC
RNAcentral lists this ribosomal RNA (400 nucleotides) under uncultured bacterium. RNAcentral describes it as "bacterial SSU rRNA". It matches the Rfam family "Bacterial small subunit ribosomal RNA", at positions 356 to 773 of the family's 1533-position model. The record is from RNAcentral.